This 1311-nucleotide long non-coding RNA is filed under the name Chrysemys picta bellii (western painted turtle). RNAcentral describes it as "lncRNA (ENSCPBG00000007014.1)". Lineage: Eukaryota; Metazoa; Chordata; Testudines; Emydidae. The record is from RNAcentral.
AUGCCCAAGGCUCCGGGAUUCAAGCCCUGCGGUUCCUGCUCUAAGCCCAUGCCAACGGGCGAACCCCAUGACUCUGGCCUAAAGUUUCUGGGGGAGUCUCAUCAAGCAGACAAGUGCAGGAUCUGCAAAGGGUUUCAUCCCUGGACUAAGAAGAAGCGGGACUUUAGUUUAAAACAGCGCCUCAUGGGGGCGACUCUUGGCCCUCGGCCUCCUGCGGCGUGCCAAGAUCUGGCACCAAGCACUUCGGUGCGCAGCACCCCAGCAGCAACGGUAGGAGUUACCACGCAGUUGGAUUCUGAACGAGACCCGUGGCACCGACACUCCCCGGCUCCGCAACCAACUUCAUUGGCCUGGCACCCCUCCCAUUCUGGCCAGAAGCGGUACCGGAAGCCGGAAAAGGGUGGCCCGCCUCCUCAGAGACCAGCCUCCCUGGAACCACCCGUGGAGACACGUCCCGGAGGGGAGCAUCUAGGGGCACAGCCUACGGCUUCGGAGCCAUUGAGUUCAGUGCCACUGGACUCCCUGACGUACAGCUUGGUUGAGGUCCAAUUGCCGUCCGACCCGGAUACCUUUGCUGCUGCAAGGGAUCUUAUUGCCAUGACGGCAUCAGCAUCCUCUCAGCCUCAUGCCAAAGCACCGGUUCCUGUACGUGCGGCACUGUCCCAGGGCAAGCCGGCCCUAAUCCAUCCGUCAGCGCCGUCGGUCAAGCCCCGGCACCGAUCCCGUUCUUGGCACCAUUCCCACUUCCGACACCGCGCUCAUUCGCGGCGCCGGACAUACUCGUGGCACAGGUCGUACUCGCAGCACAGCUUUGGCACAGGUCCCAGUGCUGAUCUGCCCACCGAUUGCCAUCGAGGAGCAGAUCCCAGACUUGAUGCCGCUCUUGCUGCUGGUCAUCAUCUUGACCCAGGUCCCAAUCCAGGCGCCGGUCCAGGUCCCGGCAUCGCUCCCCUGUGUCGUGGCACCGUUCCCCAUCGCCUCAUAGACAUGACCCAGCUCAGAUCUGCUCGGCACCACCGUGGCCCUCAUGUUCUGCUUCUCGUUCUUCAGGAUCGGAAGCAGGGUCACGUUUCUCUGCACGCCUCCAUUUGGGCUGGGCAUUGGCAGAGUCCCAUUCAAGGGCCCACUCAGUGGUCGUUCUGGAUGCCCUGGGCAUACUACCAGGCCCAGGGUGCUCCAUCUUGGGCUUCUCUAUCAGCCCCGUCCGAGCCACAAGUGCCAAAGGCUACCACCAGUCGGCCCACCCUGGGAGGCAUGGAGACCGUGGCAGCUUCCCUCCCCCACCGGUUCCUGGUCCGGGCCCUGAGAUAG